UCUAAAUCUUGAUGGAGUAAUCUACAUCCCC
RNAcentral lists this non-coding RNA (31 nucleotides) under Homo sapiens (human). Lineage: Eukaryota; Metazoa; Chordata; Mammalia; Primates; Hominidae. The record is from RNAcentral.